CGCGGACCCCGAGAGCGGCGGCGCGACUCACCGCGGAGGCGCCCGGACGCGUCAAGUGCGUACUUUCAACCGUAAAUGGGUGCUGAGCGUUUAGGGGUGCGGGGCAACUCCCUAACUCGUGGGGCCCUGGCCGGCCCUGCCGCGGCGUCCGAGACCUUCUGAUCCCUCGCUGCGCGCGGCGCGGGGUUGGCGACUUGGGCUCAGGGGCGGCGGGGCGGGGAGGUGCCUUGACCUAGGGACCCAGAGGCCGGGAGCAAGUCUCCUUUCGCCUUGGACCGCAGUGUCCCCCAGGGCAAGGCCUGAACCAGGUCGCGAGGGUCUGUCUCCCGUCUGGGGAGCUGAACUGCCCGGGACACUGUCGCAGUCGCGGGGACUUGUCUGGAGCGGCGGGGUCUGAGCCCAAGUCCGAAGCCGCCGCCGCCAGCGUCCCGUGCGCCUGCCGCCCCGGGACCAGCCGCGAAACUUCUUCUCGGGACGGAGACAGCGCUCGCCGCCCGGGCCGAGACCCAGCCCAAUAGGAAGCACCUGAUCCACACUCUUUCUAGCCCCAGAGAUGCUCAGGAAAGCAGCUCUUCUUUAGGGCUGUCAUCUGUUCUGGGGAUCUGUUGCUGUUCCUUGGGCCCACAGAAUACACUCCAUACCUCGGGACUCCAUAAUAUUGGACAAGGCUGGAAGGCCCAUUUGGAUCCUGCAGCCUCUUGUGCAGGUGAGGACAGACCCAAGGUCCAGGCAAUGCUGGCCUUUGGAACACAGAACCUGGCUCAGUGACUGCCACUCCAGUUGUCU
Molecule: long non-coding RNA, 786 nt
Filed under: Pongo abelii (Sumatran orangutan)
Lineage: Eukaryota; Metazoa; Chordata; Mammalia; Primates; Hominidae
Description: lincRNA
Source: RNAcentral